AGAAACAAUGUCACACAGAAUCACACAGAUAUUUAUUUGCCUGGCUGACAUUGCAAGUUUCCUCCUCAUUCAGCCUAAAGUUUUGUAUAUACAUCAAAGAUGUUCACUUUGUUAUCUUCCUCCUCCUGCAGCUUCCUGUCUUAAUGUGUAAUAGUCAUAAUGAAGCCUGCCUUCAGCAAAGCAGCACCAGUGUGCACAAGGAUGGAGACAUGUUUUUGAGACAGUGACUUAUUGUGCUGACUAUGCUAGCAGCAAACUCCAGGACUCAAGAAUUCCCUCCACUUCAGCCUCUUGAGGAGCCUGCAUUACAGGUCUCCACCCGAACCAGCUGUGGAGGUGGAUUUGAGGGCGGGAGCUUUUCCUUUCGCGGACCUGCAGUUCAGCUGCUCUGACCACGUCCUCACAGCAACUGAACUGAACCUCACAGCAACUGAACUGAAUGGCUGCACGUCUCCUGUGAGCCUAGUCCUGCAUGAUUGCCUGAAUAAACAUAUGAAAAAAUGUUCAACAUCACUGGUCAAGCAAGAGAUGCAAAUGAAAACAAUGCUGAGAUUCCACCUCACUCCAGAAAGAAUGGCUGCUAUCAUGAAAUCAACCAAC
Molecule: long non-coding RNA, 600 nt
Filed under: Heterocephalus glaber (naked mole-rat)
Lineage: Eukaryota; Metazoa; Chordata; Mammalia; Rodentia; Bathyergidae
Description: lncRNA (ENSHGLG00100034878.1)
Source: RNAcentral